AGAUUAGAGUUUGAUCCUGGCUCAGCAUCUAAAGAAGUCGUAACAAGGUAGCCGUAGAGUUUGAUCAUGGCUCAGGUAGAGAAAUGCCGCCAGCACGACGACCAGCACGAACAAAAGUCGUAACAAGGUAACCGUAAGUCGUAACAAGGUAACCGUGGAGUUUGAUCAUGGCUCAGGAAAGUCGUAACAAGGUAACCGUAUGUCGUAUCAAGGUAACCGUAUGUCGUAACAGGGUACCGUAGAGUUUGAUCAUGGCUCAGCCUUUGACUUAAAAAAAUGGAGAAGUCGUAACAAGAUAACCGUAGAGUUUGAUCAUGGCUCAGGAAAGUCGUAACAAGGUAACCGUAGAGUUUGAUCACGGCUCAGGAAA
RNAcentral lists this ribosomal RNA (370 nucleotides) under uncultured bacterium. Its description in RNAcentral is "partial 16S ribosomal RNA". The record is from RNAcentral.